Molecule: long non-coding RNA, 753 nt
Organism: Cervus elaphus (red deer)
Lineage: Eukaryota; Metazoa; Chordata; Mammalia; Artiodactyla; Cervidae
Exons: 3
Source: RefSeq, a predicted model, not a curated record
UAUUUUUUUGUUAGUGGGUGGUGUACAAACAAGAGAUAGAAUGACAGAUGCCAUCUAUAUGUUUUACAAAAACACCUCUUGCUUGUGCAUGUGUAAGCAGAGUCAGGUUUGACAAAAUGCAAAGAGAUGUCUUACAGAUGGCGCAUGUGAGGAGGACAGGUCUUCUCAAGCUGAUGAGGCUGUAAAAGCAGUUGUCAUGAGUAUGUGCAAGUCUGCCACACCUGUUCUUCAAGGAAAUUCCCACUGAUGAGAAGACAGAAGUCCAAAAUAUGGAAGAGAGAUGACCACAGUCACAAAUCCGAGAAAUUCAGUUGCUUCCAUUUCUUUAAAGUUGGAGACUUAAAAAUUAUGGCGUUCUUGAAGCGGAACACUGUGAGUUAUAUCAAAAAAGGUACUGGCGUUCAUAAACACUGACAGGCAGAUGGAUUUCCAACAAGUGGAAACACAGAGCUACACUGGCAAAAAGCAGCAGCCAGCAAGCAUUUUAAUCGUGAUUUGGCUCAUCAGUGCUUGUUCUGACUCCACAGAAGUUCAUCUUUAGGAAGCACCUUCUACCAAAUGGAAAGCUGGCAAGAAGUAAUGCUUGAGAUUGCUGACACUGAACCAGAGCGUACUUAAAAUUGAAAAAACAUUUCCCCCUAUUAUUUGUUUGGAUAUAUCUCGAAGAACCCCAAACAGAAAAGCAAUAUUUAAAUUUGAUUUUGUCCAAAACAUUCUUGCAAUUCUAAUACCCUACCUACUCUGUGUCCAGGA